ACUAAGCGUACACGGUGGAUGCCCUGGCAGUCAGAGGCGAUGAAGGACGUGCUAAUCUGCGAUAAGCGUCGGUAAGGUGAUAUGAACCGUUAUAACCGGCGAUUUCCGAAUGGGGAAACCCAGUGUGAUUCGUCACACUAUCAUUAACUGAAUCCAUAGGUUAAUGAGGCGAACCGGGGGAACUGAAACAUCUAAGUACCCCGAGGAAAAGAAAUCAACCGAGAUUCCCCCAGUAGCGGCGAGCGAACGGGGAGCAGCCCAGAGCCUGAAUCAGUGUGUGUGUUAGUGGAAGCGUCUGGAAAGGCGUGCGAUACAGGGUGACAGCCCCGUACACAAAAAUGCACAUACUGUGAGCUCGAUGAGUAGGGCGGGACACGUGGUAUCCUGUCUGAAUAUGGGGGACCAUCCUCCAAGGCUAAAUACUUCUGACUGACCGAUAGUGAACCAGUACCGUGAGGGAAAGGCGAAAAGAACCCCGGCGAGGGGAGUGAAAAAGAACCUGAAACCGUGUACGUACAAGCAGUGGGAGCACGCUUAGGCGUGUGACUGCGUACCUUUUGUAUAAUGGGUCAGCGACUUAUAUUCUGUAGCAAGGUUAACCGAAUAGGGGAGCCGAAGGGAAACCGAGUCUUAACUGGGCGUUAAGUUGCAGGGUAUAGACCCGAAACCCGGUGAUCUAGCCAUGGGCAGGUUGAAGGUUGGGUAACACUAACUGGAGGACCGAACCGACUAAUGUUGAAAAAUUAGCGGAUGACUUGUGGCUGGGGGUGAAAGGCCAAUCAAACCGGGAGAUAGCUGGUUCUCCCCGAAAGCUAUUUAGGUAGCGCCUCGUGAAUUCAUCUCCGGGGGUAGAGCACUGUUUCGGCAAGGGGGUCAUCCCGACUUACCAACCCGAUGCAAACUGCGAAUACCGGAGAAUGUUAUCACGGGAGACACACGGCGGGUGCUAACGUCCGUCGUGAAGAGGGAAACAACCCAGACCGCCAGCUAAGGUCCCAAAGUCAUGGUUAAGUGGGAAACGAUGUGGGAAGGCCCAGACAGCCAGGAUGUUGGCUUAGAAGCAGCCAUCAUUUAAAGAAAGCGUAAUAGCUCACUGGUCGAGUCGGCCUGCGCGGAAGAUGUAACGGGGCUAAACCAUGCACCGAAGCUGCGGCAGCGACGCUUAUGCGUUGUUGGGUAGGGGAGCGUUCUGUAAGCCUGUGAAGGUGUACUGUGAGGUAUGCUGGAGGUAUCAGAAGUGCGAAUGCUGACAUAAGUAACGAUAAAGCGGGUGAAAAGCCCGCUCGCCGGAAGACCAAGGGUUCCUGUCCAACGUUAAUCGGGGCAGGGUGAGUCGACCCCUAAGGCGAGGCCGAAAGGCGUAGUCGAUGGGAAACAGGUUAAUAUUCCUGUACUUGGUGUUACUGCGAAGGGGGGACGGAGAAGGCUAUGUUGGCCGGGCGACGGUUGUCCCGGUUUAAGCGUGUAGGCUGGUUUUCCAGGCAAAUCCGGAAAAUCAAGGCCGAGGCGUGAUGACGAGGCACUACGGUGCUGAAGCAACAAAUGCCCUGCUUCCAGGAAAAGCCUCUAAGCAUCAGGUAACAUCAAAUCGUACCCCAAACCGACACAGGUGGUCAGGUAGAGAAUACCAAGGCGCUUGAGAGAACUCGGGUGAAGGAACUAGGCAAAAUGGUGCCGUAACUUCGGGAGAAGGCACGCUGAUACGUAGGUGAAGCGACUUGCUCGUGGAGCUGAAAUCAGUCGAAGAUACCAGCUGGCUGCAACUGUUUAUUAAAAACACAGCACUGUGCAAACACGAAAGUGGACGUAUACGGUGUGACGCCUGCCCGGUGCCGGAAGGUUAAUUGAUGGGGUUAGCGCAAGCGAAGCUCUUGAUCGAAGCCCCGGUAAACGGCGGCCGUAACUAUAACGGUCCUAAGGUAGCGAAAUUCCUUGUCGGGUAAGUUCCGACCUGCACGAAUGGCGUAAUGAUGGCCAGGCUGUCUCCACCCGAGACUCAGUGAAAUUGAACUCGCUGUGAAGAUGCAGUGUACCCGCGGCAAGACGGAAAGACCCCGUGAACCUUUACUAUAGCUUGACACUGAACAUUGAGCCUUGAUGUGUAGGAUAGGUGGGAGGCUUUGAAGUGUGGACGCCAGUCUGCAUGGAGCCGACCUUGAAAUACCACCCUUUAAUGUUUGAUGUUCUAACGUGGACCCGUGAUCCGGGUUGCGGACAGUGUCUGGUGGGUAGUUUGACUGGGGCGGUCUCCUCCUAAAGAGUAACGGAGGAGCACGAAGGUUGGCUAAUCCUGGUCGGACAUCAGGAGGUUAGUGCAAUGGCAUAAGCCAGCUUGACUGCGAGCGUGACGGCGCGAGCAGGUGCGAAAGCAGGUCAUAGUGAUCCGGUGGUUCUGAAUGGAAGGGCCAUCGCUCAACGGAUAAAAGGUACUCCGGGGAUAACAGGCUGAUACCGCCCAAGAGUUCAUAUCGACGGCGGUGUUUGGCACCUCGAUGUCGGCUCAUCACAUCCUGGGGCUGAAGUAGGUCCCAAGGGUAUGGCUGUUCGCCAUUUAAAGUGGUACGCGAGCUGGGUUUAGAACGUCGUGAGACAGUUCGGUCCCUAUCUGCCGUGGGCGCUGGAGAACUGAGGGGGGCUGCUCCUAGUACGAGAGGACCGGAGUGGACGCAUCACUGGUGUUCGGGUUGUCAUGCCAAUGGCACUGCCCGGUAGCUAAAUGCGGAAGAGAUAAGUGCUGAAAGCAUCUAAGCACGAAACUUGCCCCGAGAUGAGUUCUCCCUGACCCUUUAAGGGUCCUGAAGGAACGUUGAAGACGACGACGUUGAUAGGCCGGGUGUGUAAGCGCAGCGAUGCGUUGAGCUAACCGGUACUAAUGAACCGUGAGGCUUAACC
RNAcentral lists this ribosomal RNA (2892 nucleotides) under Shigella flexneri. Its description in RNAcentral is "bacterial LSU rRNA". It matches the Rfam family "Bacterial large subunit ribosomal RNA". The record is from RNAcentral. Lineage: Bacteria; Pseudomonadati; Pseudomonadota; Gammaproteobacteria; Enterobacterales; Enterobacteriaceae.